AUGUGCAACCUAAAGGCCAUAAUAAAAAAUGCUGACAUCUUGGAAGAGAUGCAACAGGACUUGGUGGAGUGCACUACUCAGGCGCUAGAGAAAUAGAAUAUAGAGAAGGACAUUCCAGCUCAUAUCAAGAAGGAAUUUGACAAGAAGUCCAGUCCCAUGCGGCUUGCAUCAUGGGGAGGAACUUCAGGAGUUAUGUGACACAUGAAACCAAAUGCUUCAUCUGUUUCUACCUGGGCCAAGUGGCCACUCUUCUGUUCAAAUCUGGU
Molecule: long non-coding RNA, 266 nt
Filed under: Homo sapiens (human)
Lineage: Eukaryota; Metazoa; Chordata; Mammalia; Primates; Hominidae
Description: non-protein coding lnc-RBM19-3:1
Source: RNAcentral